UAACGCGUGGGCAACCUGCCCUUAAGCCUGGGAUACCAUUUGGAAACAGAUGCUAAUACCGGAUAAAAGCUACUUUCGCAUGAAAGAAGUUUAAAAGGCGGCGUAAGCUGUCGCUAAAGGAUGGACCUGCGAUGCAUUAGCUAGUUGGUAAGGUAACAGCUUACCAAGGCGAUGAUGCAUAGCCGAGUUGAGAGACUGAUCGGCCACAUUGGGACUGAGACACGGCCCAA
RNAcentral lists this ribosomal RNA (230 nucleotides) under uncultured Lactobacillaceae bacterium. Its description in RNAcentral is "partial 16S ribosomal RNA". It matches the Rfam family "Bacterial small subunit ribosomal RNA", at positions 111 to 334 of the family's 1533-position model. Lineage: Bacteria; Bacillati; Bacillota; Bacilli; Lactobacillales; Lactobacillaceae. The record is from RNAcentral.